UACGGAGGGUGCAAGCGUUAUCCGGAUUUACUGGGUUUAAAGGGUGCGUAGGUGGGCAGGUAAGUCAGUGGUGAAAUCUCCGAGCUUAACUCGGAAACUGCCAUUGAUACUAUCUGUCUUGAAUUAUCUGGAGGUAAGCGGAAUAUGUCAUGUAGCGGUGAAAUGCGUAGAUAUGACAUAGAACACCAAUUGCGAAGGCGGCUUACUGCGGAUCGAUUGACGCUGAGGCACGAAAGCGUGGGGGGCAAACAGG
This 253-nucleotide ribosomal RNA is filed under the name uncultured bacterium. Its description in RNAcentral is "partial 16S ribosomal RNA". It matches the Rfam family "Bacterial small subunit ribosomal RNA", at positions 524 to 776 of the family's 1533-position model. The record is from RNAcentral.